This 6385-nucleotide long non-coding RNA is filed under the name Marmota monax (woodchuck). Lineage: Eukaryota; Metazoa; Chordata; Mammalia; Rodentia; Sciuridae. The record is from RNAcentral.
GGGCGGGUGGGAGAAGGGCUCCUCCUCCUUAGCCCCGGGGCCCAGGUGGCCCCCAGCCUCAGGGAUCUCCCCGUCCUGCUGCAGAGGGCAGGUUGCCAGCCUCCAGGUGGCCCGUCCCCCCUGCCCACUCUAGUGCCGUCCUCACUCAACGUCUGUGGCCGAUGCUGUGUGGGUCCUGGACUCCCCGUGGCCUGUCACCUCCCCCGCUGAAGGCCCCAGGUGCGGAGGCCCCAGAGGCCUGGGCCUCACUGCCUCCGCUCCUCCUCCCGGCUCUGUGUUCCCAGGGCCAAACCCACUUCUGAGUCUCCUUCUGGAUGAGUCUGUGCCCUCCUAUGAGCUUCGCCCUUCGGCCUGGAGGAGGGCUGCGAAGGGCAUCCCUCUAAAGCCAUCAAGGGUGUCCCUGGACAAGCCCCGGCCUGGGGGCCAGCGGCUGGCCUCCACGACUCCCGACUCUCAGACCCGGGCUCCCACCGUCGGUUUCUGGAGUUAAAAUCCGACCUGGGCUCCGUUUUGGCUCUCUGCUUUCCUCCCUCGCUGUCCUGACCGUUGGCAGGUGACGGGCCCUCUUCUGGGGACAGGGAGACGUGAGAAGGGAGAGGCUGGCACUUGUGAGCCUUUCCUCCUGACGUGGGGUUAGUGGCCUUUGGUGACCCUGUGACCAAAACACCCAACAGGAGCCACUUAGAGGAGGAAGUUGAUUUGGGGCUCCUGGUUCCAGAGGUCUCAGUCCGUGGACGGCCGACUCCACGGCUCUGGGCCCCAGGUGAGGCAGAAGGUCAUGGCAGGAGGGACAGCAGGGGACAGCUGCUCAGCCCGUGGUGGCAUCAGGAAGCAGGGCGGGGGAAGGCCCCGUGGCCACCUCCUGCAGGCACCACCUGCCUGCGGUCACCGCCCAGUCGGUCCAUUUACCUAGGACGGCUCAGCAGGUCACAGCCUCACAGUCCAGUCACUGUCCUCUGGACAUUCCUGUUGGAACACAGGAGCGGUGGGGGACCCUCACAUCCAGCCGUCACACAUGGGUGUCUCCAGCAAGUGACAGGUGUGGGCCUUGGUGACAGAUCACCCAGGGAACAGCACCACUCCCCACCCCCAUCCAGGCUCAGCACUGAAGCCCAGGGGGGUUUGUCUGCUCCUGGCCCCUGGGGCCUCCAGUUCCAGUGCAGUAAGAGAGGCCAGCACCGUCAGAUCUUAGCAGAUGGGGGUCACAGAAAGUGCAGGCAGAAUCCCAGGGCCUCCUUCCCAGCCCUACCUGUCCCCAGAGCCACACCUGUUCAGACUGGAUCCACUGUCAAAAAGUAACCGGGUGUGGCCGGGCACGCCCGAAAUCCCUCGGGAGGCUGAGGCAGGAGGAUGGCAAGUUUGAGACCAGUCUCAGCAAAUCAGUGAGACCUUAAGCAAUGAAGGGAUGCCCUGGCUCGAAAUUAAAAAAAUAAUAAUAAUAAUCAAGGAGACGGGCUGGGAAUGUGGCUGGGCGGUCCAGUGCCUCUGGGCUCAACCCACGGUACCAGAAAGAGAAAGAAGAGCGCGUUUCCUGUUUCCAGUUGGAUGGACAAUGUCAGCCGGAGCUCCCGGAGGCUUGGCCAGGCCCCAGUGACCCUUCAGAGAUAUUUUAGAACCAGACUCUGUUCUCUGGGAUGACGACGGGUCAUUUUGAAAAGCCUUAACUAGGUCAGCUGCAGGACCGUGUGGGUGGCCCGGGCUGCCUGCUGUAUUCAGGGGACUGCUGAACAGCCUCCGUGUCCGGGCAGCAGUGGACCUAUUACAUCAGGCGGUCAGGGGGACCCCGAGGUCAGUGUUCUCAAAGCUCUCCAGGGAAGCCCAACAGGCCAUCAAGCUGAGAACCACAGGACCUGACCACUGCGGGGGUCUGUGGCCUCGGAGUCCUCAGGGAGCGGGUUAGAAACGCAGAGUCUUGGUCACUCCUGCCCUACGGGGCCAGAGUGGGCAUUUCCACCAGGUGAGUCCUGUCCACAUUCCCGUCUGACCCUGUUCCAUCAGAAACUGUAGCCACUAACCACCCGAGGCCAUCUAGACUUAAAUGAAAUUAAAAAUCUAGCUCUUCUGUGGCACCAGGCACAUUGCAGUUGUCGAGUGGCUCUGGUGGCCCUGGUGGCCACCACAGUGGCAGAUGUAGCCCAGAAGUACUGGCCUAGAACAUUCCUUCCCUUGGGAUGCUACAGGCCUACAGAUGACCCUGUGCCCCCGGCCGGGGUGAGCCGGAGACGCCUUCCACCAGGAUUACGAGGGACGUUUCUAGAUUAUUGAUUCUCUGCUCAUUGAUUAUUGAUUCUCUGUUCAUUGAUUAUUGAUUUUCUGCUCAUUUUAGAGAAAUCGAGAACACAGCCCGUCACCCCGAGAGCUGGACAUGUGCCAUUCAGGGCGGGGGGCACACAGAUGGGAAGGAGCCCGGGAGGGACGUGGGCAGCAGGAUGCAUUUCAAGUGUGAGAGCAGAGUGUGAGGUGGUCAGCGCUGGGGUCUGCUGUGUCCACCUCCAGCUCAACCACAGUCCCCGCCCAUCACAGUGCCGUUGCUGGCCGAGGGCUCUUCCUCUCUCCUGCGCGAGGGUGGGUGGUGGGGGGCAGAGCAGGGGCCCUGCCAGCCCUGGCCCAUGGGGCAGGCCGGGCGGGUUUCCCCGCACACAGGCGCACACACGGGCUGCCCGGCAGGAUGCAGCUGGUGCUAAGCACGUGAUCAUGGCAGAGCAGGCCUGAGUGGUCACGUGCAUUUCCCCGGAGGACGCUGCUCUCCACUGAGAUGCUCUCCACCGCGCUGGCAGCUGACGGGCUGAGGGCUGGCGCUGGGUGGGCUGGCCCUGGGCAGGCCAGCGCCUGCUCUCUUUCCCAGUCCCCUGACUAUGCGCCUCCUAAAUUAGCCCAGGGGAGGUGAACAGCAACAGGUGCAGCCCGGCAUGUGGCCACACGUGGCCCUGGACACUGUCCACAUCUCCCCGGCCCUGGCCCAGGGCUCUGCCAGUGUCUUCUGCAGGGAAUGGAGCCCACAGAGGCGACGUGAUUUUCCCCGAGGACACGGGGCUACCAUGGGCUCAGCACGCCCAGUCCAGGAACACAGACACAGGACGUCCCCAGCACGGCCAAGACAGCCCGAGCGGCAGGCCCCACCCCUGGCCUCACGGGGAGCGGCGGUCACUAGGUGUGCUGAAGCUACGCAGGGAGCCCCUCGGCCUGUGCGGGUGAGCUGCCCACGAGACGUGGACGCACUCUGGGUGUGGACGCAGGCGCUGUCCCCAGGACGCCUCGGGCAGUCCACGCCGGCCCUCAAGAGGCCGGAGGGGAAAUGAAGUAAAUUAACAGACUAAGUGGUCACCAGUUGUGGUCAGUGCUAUGAAUGGGAAACAGACCCCAAGGACGCAGACGGGGGACCUGGGAGUGGGCGUAGGCAGCUCAGUGUGCUGUCCUGCGGGAGGUGUGAAGAGACGCGAAGGACGAGGGGGCAUCUGAGGUGGGGAGGGAGAGGAGACUCAGGCUGAGGUUGCCCAGGGAGCAGAGGCCACAGGCCCAGGGUCCCCCAGCAGGAUCCAUGUGGCUGGACGGCAUGGGUGGCCUGGGAUGGAUGGUGCGGCUGCCUCCCACCCGCCUCUCCCACACCAAGGGGCUUCUGUCCCCGUCCUUGCUCCUGCCCGUCCUGCCCUGUGACGACUGGACUGUUGGUUCUUCUGGCCACCUCGUGAGGUGCGCUGGAGCCCCAGGAGGACAGCGGGAGGGACCGGUGUGGAAAAGUGGGAGGAAGGUGCAGAGGCCCCCGCACGGCUGCCAGCCAGAGAUGGGACGGCGGAGCCUCCUCGGCACCCUGAGGAUCCCUUCUGGCCUGGCCUCCGCUGCCCUGCAAGCGCUGGUGCCCAGAGGCUGGACUCUGUGGCCCCAGAAUUGAUGGGGGUCACUCUGAAACAUGGGUAGCCGAGGCCGGACCCAGCUGAGGCCAGGCCCUCAGCCAGCCUGGCUGGAACUCAGGCCACUUGACCCCAGAGCCCCUGAUCCUCAGCCCCGUGCGUGACUUGAGAGACCCUGAGGCCCCUGUCCCCUGCAACCUGUCCCAGCCCUGGUGCCCGACACCACGUGACCUUUCCUCACAGGAAAGGUGUCCCCCAGCCUUCAGGGGGUGCCUCCCCUGAUCUCCCCACCUCACACGCCUGAGAGUCAGAACACGGAGCAAUCGGGUCACGGUCUCCUCGGUAAAUCAGGGCGGUGUCGAAACCCAGGCCUAGGCCCGAGCCUCAGUGCCCUGAGCCCCAGCACCCAGAGCCCCAGCGCCCCGAGUCCCACCUUCCUUGUGGUUGGCAGAGCCCUGGUCAAGUUCCGGUUCACUGUGCUGCGUACUGAGAGUCAGAGCUCCCCAGCAGGCAUGAGUGUGGCCUUGCCUGACAGUGGGACUAGGCCUGGGCAAGUGGUGACCCCAUCAAUGAGAUUCAAGGGGGUGUUGAGUGGGGACCUCUCAGAGAGACUCCCCUCCAUGAGGGAAAGCCUCCUUCUUUCCUUCGGGCAGACAUUAUUGGGUUCACACCUGACACCCGGAGCAGCAGCAGCCAUUCUGCAAUACUGAAGAGGCAACCCCGAGAGCAAAGGCAACAUAAUGGAGGUGGCAGGAAGAGGCUGAUCCUUGCUGAGGUCAAUUGUUUGCUGACUUCUCCAUGGAAGCUCCUCCUCUGGACUCCUCGUGAUGCCUCGUUGCCUAAUCCACAUUCAGAUAUGGGCUUAUUUGAAGUCCAAACAUCUCGGAGAUCUAUGUCCAUCUGCCCCUGAAUCUCCGACUGAUAAGGAAGGCUUUGAACUCUGAAAGCCUGGCCCCUGGACCAGCCGCAGCUGUAGCAGUGCACAUUCUGGCCCCCGUCUCCGGAAUCCGCAGGGCGGAGCACUGGCCAGACGUGUGUGAACACACCGCUGGGCGGCGUGACCCUACUCAAGUUCACAGCCAGUGCCACCCUGCCUUACGUAAGGCUCCCUGUCACACAGACGUCAGAAGGGACCCCUGGGAGGUGAUGGUGGCUUCACGGUCCCCUGGGACUUGCCUUUCCAGUCCUGGCUGCGUGGGAUCCUGCUACCCUGACCCUCCAGGGGCCGCCGGAGGGAACUGUGGGCCAUGCUGGCGUGAGUCACCGCCCUUCCAGAGCCUGGGGGCCUGCGAGGAGUGCCGGAGGUCACCAGAGCAUCGGGAGGACUGGGUGCACGGCUCUGAGGUCACCUGAUGAAGUGGCACUUGGCAGAUCUCAGCAUCACAAUCGCUCAGUCAGCUCCUGGGAGAUGGGGAGGUGCCCACAUGGCUGGCCCAGGGAGAAGAGAGAUACAGACAGGGAGAGACGGGCAGACUGCACGGGCUGUGGCCUGACUAGCAGCCGAGGGCUUGCUGUGGGGUGAUGGUCAGUAGGUGGGGCAGGACGCGGCCAGCACCCAUUACAGCAUCAGGCUUUGGCUUGGCUUGUUUUUUCUUUUUAAUUUUUAAAAUGUGUUCUAAUUGGUUUUCCACGACAGUAGAAUGCAUUUUGACUCGUUGUUACGUAAAUGGAGCAUAACUUCUCAUUCUUCUGGUUGUAGGUGAUAUAGAGUUACACGGGCCGCGUGGUCCUGUGUGCACGUAGGGUAAUAAGGUCUGAUUCAUUCCCCAUCCUUCCUACCCUCUCCGUUCAUUCCCCUGUGCCUAAUCCUAAGUAUCCCUAUUUUUCUCUCGUCUCCCACCCCCCCAUUGUGAAUUAGCAUCUGCAUAUCAAACAGAAUAUUUGGCCUUUUGUUUUUUGGAAUUGGCUUAUUUUGCUUAGCAUGAUAUGCUCCAGUUCCAUCCAUUUACCAGCAAAUGCCAUGAUUUCAUUCUUCUUUAAGGCCGAGUAAUAUUCCAUUGUGUAUACGUCCCACAUUUUCUUUAUUCAUGCAUCUGUUGAAGGGCACCUAGGUAGGCUCCAUAGCUUGUCUACCGUGAAUUGAGCUGCUAUAAACAUGGAUGUGGCUGCGUCACUAUAGUGAGCUGAUUUUGGUUUGGUUUUAAGAGUAAAGCACCUGUAUUAGAAAACUUGAAAUCCCUGUGCAUAGAGCCAGCAGAUUUUGGAACUGGAGAAACUCAGCUUUCCAUAUCCUGGUCCCUGGCAACUCUGCGUAGGUCGCCACCCCUGGUAAAAGGACUUUGCAGGGCUGGCUACACCGUGGGCCUUGAGUUGGAGAGGUGCUGUGGCCAUACCCACAGUAGUCACUGAUGUCCUUGUAACAGGGGCAUCGGGGUCAGAGGAAGGAGGGUCAAGGAUGGAGCUGAGGUCAGAGAGGAGAACAGAUGCUCAAAGGAAGGGACCCGGCCAAGGAGUGCAGGUGGCCUUGGGGAGCUGCCACCAGAGGAGAGCAGGACUCUGGGUGCUCCUCAGGCCCAGGGUCCACUCCAGGAGUGUCA